RNAcentral lists this ribosomal RNA (501 nucleotides) under uncultured Sphingobacteriales bacterium. RNAcentral's name for it is "bacterial SSU rRNA". It matches the Rfam family "Bacterial small subunit ribosomal RNA", at positions 903 to 1382 of the family's 1533-position model. Lineage: Bacteria; Pseudomonadati; Bacteroidota; Sphingobacteriia; Sphingobacteriales. The record is from RNAcentral.
CGCCUUGCCAGCCCGCUCAGAACUUAAAGGAAUUGACGGGGCCGCACAAGCGGAGGAGCAUGUGGUUAAUUCGAUGAUACGCGAGGAACCUUACCUGGGCUCGAACGUAAGAUGACUGUAGGUGAAAGCUUACAUCUCUUCGGAGCAUUUUACGAGGUGCUGCAUGGUUGUCGUCAGCUCGUGCCGUGAGGUGUCGGGUUAAGUCCCAUAACGAGCGCAACCCCUACCUUUAGUUGCCGUCAGGUAAUGCUGGGGACUCUAAAGGAACUGCCUACGCAAGUAGUGAGGAAGGCGGGGAUGACGUCAAAUCAGCACGGCCCUUACGUCCAGGGCUACACACGUGCUACAAUGGCCGAUACAGAGGGCAGCUACCUGGUGACAGGAUGCAAAUCUCCAAAGUCGGUCUCAGUUCGGAUCGGAGUCUGCAACCCGACUCCGUGAAGUUGGAUUCGCUAGUAAUCGCGCAUCAGCCAUGGCGCGGUGAAUACGUUCCCGGGCCUU